GGCGAGGUAGCUUAGCCUGGUUAUAGCGCAGGACUCAUAAUCCUGAGGUCGCGGGUUCAGAUAAUUGGCGACGCAGUCGACAAUGACCGAAAGCGCCAGCUUGAGAGUCCCGCCCUCGCCA
This 121-nucleotide transfer RNA is filed under the name Candidatus Woesearchaeota archaeon. Its description in RNAcentral is "tRNA-Met". It matches the Rfam family "tRNA". Rfam says of the family: Transfer RNA (tRNA) molecules are approximately 80 nucleotides in length. Their secondary structure includes four short double-helical elements and three loops (D, anti-codon, and T loops). Lineage: Archaea; Nanobdellati; Candidatus Woesearchaeota. The record is from RNAcentral.